CUGCAUGGUUGUCGUCAGCUCGUGCCGUUGAGGUGUCGGGUUAAGUCCCAUAACGAGCGCAACCCUACCUUUAGUUGCCAUCAGGUAAUGCUGGGGACUCUAAUGAAACUGCCUACGCAAGUAGUGAGGAAGUGGGGAUGACGUCAAAUCAGCACGGCCCUUACGUCCAGGGCUACACACGUGCUACAAUGGCCGGUACAAAGGGCAGCUACCUGGUGACAGGAUGCAAAUCUCCAAAGUCGGUCUCAGUUCGGAUCGGAGCCUGCAACCCGACUCCGUGAAGUUGGAUUCGCUAGUAAUCGCGCAUCAGCCAUGGCGCGGUGAAUACGUUCCCGGGCCUU
This 341-nucleotide ribosomal RNA is filed under the name uncultured Sphingobacteriales bacterium. RNAcentral describes it as "bacterial SSU rRNA". It matches the Rfam family "Bacterial small subunit ribosomal RNA", at positions 1041 to 1382 of the family's 1533-position model. The record is from RNAcentral. Lineage: Bacteria; Pseudomonadati; Bacteroidota; Sphingobacteriia; Sphingobacteriales.